This 334-nucleotide long non-coding RNA is filed under the name Mus musculus (house mouse). RNAcentral's name for it is "predicted gene, 41668". The record is from RNAcentral. Lineage: Eukaryota; Metazoa; Chordata; Mammalia; Rodentia; Muridae.
AAAGCAAGACAGAAUGAACCACCCAUUCAACAUCAGCUGCUACUCAGCCAACUGCAGUGUGGACGCUCCAAGUCUUCCCCUAGCUGGGUAUCCAACUCCUCUCCCAGACUCAGCUUAACCCACACCAUCUCUCACUUCUCCUUCUCAGCUUCCUCAGCUCCUCUCCUUCCCCUGGAUUACUCCUGCCUCAUCAUGAAGUUCAGACAGUGUUUCCUUUGUAAAAUGUCCUCUGGCUGGGCUCAACACUGGCUGGUGUACAUUCCAGUGACCUUCAGGCCUUUAACUUCAACGGAACAGAGAGACACAACCACAUUCACAGCACAGCACAAAGCUG